UAUAUUACUACUACAUUAAAAUUCAAAAAAAGUGUGACUGCCAAAAGCAAAAUUAAUGGAGCAGUGCCUUAUAGUAUUGCUUUUGGUUCAGCAGCUGCUGCUGGCAUCAGCUGGUUCUGUCGUCUUCAUUGCUUGCUUGUGUACAGUAGUAGAUAAAAGGCUUUUACUGACAGAAACCCCCCUCGACUUUUUCGCGGGGGGUCUUUUACUCUGUAAUCACACAGUCACUACACUUCUGUACAUGUGUUUGUGUGUGUUUAUUUGUCAUUGUUUUGGCUGACCCUGCAACAGUAGGCCUAGCCUAGCUACGUACCUCAUCAAUA
Molecule: long non-coding RNA, 323 nt
Filed under: Capsicum annuum
Lineage: Eukaryota; Viridiplantae; Streptophyta; Magnoliopsida; Solanales; Solanaceae
Description: long non-coding RNA (CANN_LNC003432)
Source: RNAcentral